Molecule: ribosomal RNA, 137 nt
Filed under: uncultured eukaryote
Lineage: Eukaryota
Description: partial 18S ribosomal RNA
Rfam family: Eukaryotic small subunit ribosomal RNA
Source: RNAcentral
UGGUGGAGUGAUUUGUCUGCUUAAUUGCGAUAACGAACGAGACCUUGACCUGCUAAAUAGCCAGGCUAGCUUUGGCUGGUCGCCGGCUUCUUAGAGGGACUUUCGGCUCAAGCCGAAGGAAGUUCGAGGCAAUAACA